GCGUAUUAAGCAUGCAAGUCGAAGGGAGUGUGAGACUUCGGUUUACAUGAGAGUGGCGAACGGGUGAGUAAUACGUAGGUGAUUCACCUUUGGGUGGGGAAUAGGCCCAUGGAACAUGGGGUAAUACCGCAUGAGGUCUUUCUGCUGCGAAGCGGAUGGAUAAAAGGAGCAAUUGUUCCGCCUGGGGAUGAGCCUGCGGUCCAUUAGCUAGUUGGUGUGGUAAGAGCGCACCAAGGCGACGAUGGAUAGCCGGCCUGAGAGGGUGAACGGCCACACUGGGACUGAGACACGGCCCAGACUCCUACGGGAGGCAGCAGCUAAGAAUCUUCCGCAAUGGGGGGAACCCUGACGGAGCGACGCCGCGUGGGCGAAGAAGGCCGCAAGGUUGUAAAGCCCUUUUCUUGACGAAGAAUAAGGCAAGGAGUGGAACGCCUUGCUGAUGACGUUAGUCGAGGAAGAAGCCCCGGCCAAUUACGUG
This 478-nucleotide ribosomal RNA is filed under the name uncultured bacterium. RNAcentral describes it as "bacterial SSU rRNA". It matches the Rfam family "Bacterial small subunit ribosomal RNA", at positions 44 to 507 of the family's 1533-position model. The record is from RNAcentral.